AGCGAACGCUGGCGGCAUGCCUAACACAUGCAAGUCGAACGAGACCUUCGGGUCUAGUGGCGCACGGGUGCGUAACGCGUGGGAACCUGCCCUUAGGUUCGGAAUACCUCCCCGAAAGGGGUGCUAAUGCCGGAUAAUGUCUUCGGACCAAAGAUUUAUCGCCUUUGGAUGGGCCCGCGUUGGAUUCGCUAGUUGGUAGGGUAAAAGCCUACCAAGGCGACGAUCCAUAGCUGGUCUGUGAGGAUGAUCAGCCACACUGGGACUGAGACACGGCCCAGACUCCUACGGGAGGGAGCAGAGGGUAAUAUUGGACAAUGGGCGAAAGCCUGAUCCAGCAAUGCGGCGUGAGUGAUGAAGGCCUUAGGGUUGUAAAGCUCUUUUACCCGGGAUGAUAAUGACAGUACCGGGAGAAUAAGCUCCGGCUAACUCCGUG
This 433-nucleotide ribosomal RNA is filed under the name uncultured bacterium. RNAcentral's name for it is "partial 16S ribosomal RNA". It matches the Rfam family "Bacterial small subunit ribosomal RNA", at positions 29 to 507 of the family's 1533-position model. The record is from RNAcentral.